AUGCGAGGCGAGGCCCAUGUAGGAAUGGUGAGGGCUUUCGAGGGAUUUUUCAACCGUGGUGAUGACCCCCAUGGUGGUGACCUCCGCCGCCACCUCCGUAGUGACCUCCGUGGCUUCCUCCUCCACCGUGAUGGUGACCUCCGCCUCCACCGUGGUGGUGACCUCCGCCUCCUCCGUGGUGGUGACCUCCGCCGCCUCCGUAGCCUGGUUCCGGAGCAGCGACAGCGAACGCGAUCAGAGCGACUAACAUCAGGAGCAGAGAUCUCUGCAACAGCCCAAGUAACAAAUAUAAGUGUUUGUAGUCGCUAUGCCGUAAGCAAACAAUCAUGAGGAACUCCUCAUGACGUCAUGAGUUACACGACGUUGCCAGACCCAGUGCUCCCAUUUCCCGGAACUAGUUCCAAAUUCCGGAACUUUCGAGAUUUUCCUGAAUUUUUCCCGAAACUAUCGAAUUUUCCGGAUCUUUUGUAUUUUCCGAAAUUUUUGAAUUCCCUGAAAUGUUCAGGAUCUUUUGCAUUUUCCGAAAUUUUCGAAUUUCCUGAAAUGUUUCGGAUCUUUUGCAUUUUCCGACAUUUUCGAAUUCCCUGAAAUGUUCCAGAUCUUUUGUAUUUUCCGAAAUUUUCGAAUUUCCUAAAAUGUUCCUGAUCUUUUGCAUUUUCCGAAACUUUCUCGGAACGUUUGAGAAAAAUCUAAAAGGAAUCGGGGAACUUACGACGGUCAUGAAAUGGAGAAAUUGGAACAAAAAACUUCCAAAUCCCGCAACUUUUGACGGACAUGGAAGGGCACUGAGGCCUGACCUGAACGACGAGCGGGAACGUAGAGUUCUUUCCCUAUAAAUUGGACGUAUUUCUGCCAAACGGAACUAUGUGCAUUAAGACAUGAGCUCUGAGACCCAUAAGAAUAUAUGCAUGACAGGGUUCGCGUCAUAAUGCACAUAGUUCCGUUUGGCAUAAAUACAUCCAAUCGUUCUCAUCUGUCUCAUUAAGUAGCGGAUUUUUUAUUAAGUAUCGUAUUCUAUUGCCGCAAUUGAAUUAUUAUGAAGAUUUCACAGCGUUGAUGUGGUGACUUAAACGCAGAACAGAAACGUAGAGAUCGUUUCUCAUGAAUUAUGACCAUCGGGAUGGAUCUACAGGUGGUUUUAGCCAGACAAAGUUUGAAUUUAAGUAUUCUGAAGUAUUGACGGUAAAACUACCAGACGACGUAUCUUGGUUUGCGACGUUGCAGACGUUGUAUCAUACCUUAUUUUUUUAAAGAAAAAUUACUCAACACAUAACCUUAAAAACUGCCGUGAUUUCCCCUCCUAUUUUGAAGCCUUGAUCUUUUAUUGACAAUAUGUUGUGUUAAGGGUUUUCGAGUCCAUACAGGAGAGUAUACAUGGGUCUCCUUCAAACUGAUAGAUAUGCGAUUUGAGUUACUUAGAAGCUGGUAUAGUUGUAUUUAACAUUUCCGCCUCGGCGCGGCGGUUAGUAUUAAACGCUGUAGUUUAAAUUUGUUUAUAGAGUGUACCGUCAUAAAGUAAGUAUAUUUGAGCUGUGACUCUUCAGUAUUUUUUUUACAGAAUGAGAUUAAAUGAAUGUUAUGAGUUUUAGCUAUUACAUUCCGGAACAUGAAAGAAUUGUACUAGGGAAAAACAAAUUGAAAAACGCACGUAAUUUAAAGAAAUGCUAAAUGUCUUUCGGGGCAAAGCCUCCAUUUCAGCAGCAUAAUAAUUUACACACAUCAGAUAGAAAGAGCCGUAUAAUUCAAACAAACAGUAUUGCAAUUAAAAUCAUAUUUCAAUAAAUUAAAUCGAGUAAAAUAAAGUUAUGACAGAUGGUCAAAACAACCGAAGGUGAUAAAUCAAAGAUGGGAAUGAAAAGGCUCACAUUUUCAUAAUUAUUUUCAACUUUUAUCUUCUGCUUUUAUCAACACUUUUUGUUUUGCUCACUUGUUAUCACGUUAUCUUUAAAUUUACACGAUUUGUUGAAAUAUAAUUUAAUUUUGAGAUAUUUUGGUGUUACUACAUUGUUCUUUUUAUCUACCACAUGAAAUUUUAAUAUUUUUUUAUGCUUCUGAUUGUGAGGCUUGGACUCAAAGGGAUUUAGCUUUUUGCUCACAAAUGUGUUCUUUUUUUCAUGUAUGAGCCUAUGGCGUCUCCCAAGGUAGUGGCUAGAACCCUUAUUUAUUCAUUCAAUUUUCGCUCCGCUACUUGGAAUCAUGUUCAAGAGUAUUUUCCUGACCCGGCGCUCUUUUUUAAAACCACCAUGUGAUAAAAACAGAAACGAAACAUCUCGAAUUCAAUAUAUUGUGAUAAUAUGUCGUGAUAAUGGUCAAUAAUAAGAAAGUAUUCAUAUUGACCAUUUAUUGUAAUAUCCCGCUUUAAAAUGACACGCACAAGAAAUUUAGAUAAUGUGUUGUUAAACAAAAAUUUCCUCGAAUCUCAUUAAUGCUUGACAUGCGUUUACUAUUGAUAAUUUAUUGAUUGCUUAACCAUGACAUUGGGCUCCACCAACUGCUACCUUCCCCUCUUGUAAUAAAAUUAUAGUGCCGGAAUAAAAUUUACUUUAUUUGACCCAGCAUAAAUCGUUUCAUGAAAAAGUUGGCUCCUUGCACUGAAAGUUAUUAUUUCCCAUUGGAUCGCAUUAGCAAAAGGAACUACCGUGAUUACAGUGUUGUAAAAAUGUUAUUUUUCGUAACUAUCCAGAAAAAUAUUCCAGAAUUGCAGAAAGUUUUUUCUCCCCACCAAAAAAUCGUCAAUUUUGGAGGAAAAUUAUUGUUGUGUACAUUGUAAUACCGUAGACAUGGACCGCGUUAAACAGAAAGGAAGCAAGCCACAUCAGCUAUUGCCAAAUUUAACCGGGCAAUUUAAUUUUUUACAUGAAAAUGGUUGUGCAGAUUUUCAUGCAAAUCUCAGAGAAUUUUCUCCACAGUGCGAAGCGAAUUCCUCAAAAUUUCAACAAAAUCCGCACGAACGUUUCCUCGUAGAAAAUUAAAGUGCCCACUUAAAUUUGGCAAUAGCUGAUGUGGCUUGCUUCCUUUCUGUUUAACGCGGUCCGUAUAUGAAUAAGUAUUUUUAAAAGAAAAGAAGAAGUUGUAAGACUUUGAAGACUUAUAGUACAAUUACAUUUCGGCGAUUGCAAAAUUAACGAUCUCAAUGGAUAGUUGGACUUUGCCGCGCCAAUUUUCAUGCGAUUUGCAAGCAAGAUUGCGCUACUCACCAAGAGUGUGAAAUCCAUCGUAGCGUGAAGAUGCAAAAAAUUAGAAGAAGAUCACUGUCGAGUAAACGAUAUGAAUAAACUGUAUCGAUUAGGUAAGCCACAAACGCUUUUAUACGCGAAUAUUCUUCCGUGGUGCAAAUAUGAGGGAAGUCCGCCAAGUUGGUUCCAAACGCGGCCCUGUCGCCAAAUCGUGCAGAAUCCAACUGAAAUCCGGCAGCCGACCUAUCGCGCUCAGGAAGAACGUCGUAUAAUCACUCCAGCGUUGCCUAAUUUCACCCGGUAAAAUAGCAAUUUUAGACGAAAGUUGUGAAUAUUUCUCCUUGAAAUUUUCACACACUUUAAAGUAAAUCAUGAUCAAAAUGAUUCAAACGGGUGUGGAGGAAAAUAUUCACGAAUUUUUCAGGAAAUUCGUGUUUUAUUUAAGAAAUUUGGCAACUUCCGAAGGCUCAUACGGUGACUUUCCUCGUGACAAUGACCCA
RNAcentral lists this long non-coding RNA (3676 nucleotides) under Bemisia tabaci. RNAcentral's name for it is "lncRNA ENSSSA2NGG000209". Lineage: Eukaryota; Metazoa; Arthropoda; Insecta; Hemiptera; Aleyrodidae. The record is from RNAcentral.